AUCCGGCUAAUGAGUGCCAAAUAGGACGAAACGCGCGUCCUAGAU
This 45-nucleotide non-coding RNA is filed under the name Schistosoma mansoni. The record is from RNAcentral. Lineage: Eukaryota; Metazoa; Platyhelminthes; Trematoda; Strigeidida; Schistosomatidae.